This 1490-nucleotide ribosomal RNA is filed under the name Lactiplantibacillus argentoratensis. Its description in RNAcentral is "bacterial SSU rRNA". It matches the Rfam family "Bacterial small subunit ribosomal RNA". The record is from RNAcentral. Lineage: Bacteria; Bacillati; Bacillota; Bacilli; Lactobacillales; Lactobacillaceae.
GACGAACGCUGGCGGCGUGCCUAAUACAUGCAAGUCGAACGAACUCUGGUAUUGAUUGGUGCUUGCAUCAUGAUUUACAUUUGAGUGAGUGGCGAACUGGUGAGUAACACGUGGGAAACCUGCCCAGAAGCGGGGGAUAACACCUGGAAACAGAUGCUAAUACCGCAUAACAACUUGGACCGCAUGGUCCGAGCUUGAAAGAUGGCUUCGGCUAUCACUUUUGGAUGGUCCCGCGGCGUAUUAGCUAGAUGGUGGGGUAACGGCUCACCAUGGCAAUGAUACGUAGCCGACCUGAGAGGGUAAUCGGCCACAUUGGGACUGAGACACGGCCCAAACUCCUACGGGAGGCAGCAGUAGGGAAUCUUCCACAAUGGACGAAAGUCUGAUGGAGCAACGCCGCGUGAGUGAAGAAGGGUUUCGGCUCGUAAAACUCUGUUGUUAAAGAAGAACAUAUCUGAGAGUAACUGUUCAGGUAUUGACGGUAUUUAACCAGAAAGCCACGGCUAACUACGUGCCAGCAGCCGCGGUAAUACGUAGGUGGCAAGCGUUGUCCGGAUUUAUUGGGCGUAAAGCGAGCGCAGGCGGUUUUUUAAGUCUGAUGUGAAAGCCUUCGGCUCAACCGAAGAAGUGCAUCGGAAACUGGGAAACUUGAGUGCAGAAGAGGACAGUGGAACUCCAUGUGUAGCGGUGAAAUGCGUAGAUAUAUGGAAGAACACCAGUGGCGAAAGGCGGCUGUCUGGUCUGUAACUGACGCUGAGGCUCGAAAGUAUGGGUAGCAAACAGGAUUAGAUACCCUGAUAGUCCAUACCGUAAACGAUGAAUGCUAAGUGUUGGAGGGUUUCCGCCCUUCAGUGCUGCAGCUAACGCAUUAAGCAUUCCGCCUGGGGAGUACGGCCGCAAGGCUGAAACUCAAAGGAAUUGACGGGGGCCCGCACAAGCGGUGGAGCAUGUGGUUUAAUUCGAAGCUACGCGAAGAACCUUACCAGGUCUUGACAUACUAUGCAAAUCUAAGAGAUUAGACGUUCCCUUCGGGGACAUGGAUACAGGUGGUGCAUGGUUGUCGUCAGCUCGUGUCAUGAGAUGUUGGGUUAAGUCCCGCAACGAGCGCAACCCUUAUUAUCAGUUGCCAGCAUUAAGUUGGGCACUCUGGUGAGACUGCCGGUGACAAACCGGAGGAAGGUGGGGAUGACGUCAAAUCAUCAUGCCCCUUAUGACCUGGGCUACACACGUGCUACAAUGGAUGGUACAACGAGUUGCGAACUCGCGAGAGUAAGCUAAUCUCUUAAAGCCAUUCUCAGUUCGGAUUGUAGGCUGCAACUCGCCUACAUGAAGUCGGAAUCGCUAGUAAUCGCGGAUCAGCAUGCCGCGGUGAAUACGUUCCCGGGCCUUGUACACACCGCCCGUCACACCAUGAGAGUUUGUAACACCCAAAGUCGGUGGGGUAACCUUUUAGGAACCAGCCGCCUAAGGUGGGACAGAUGAUUAGGGUG